Molecule: ribosomal RNA, 2255 nt
Filed under: human gut metagenome
Description: bacterial LSU rRNA
Rfam family: Bacterial large subunit ribosomal RNA
Source: RNAcentral
AGCCCAAACCGGCUGGAUUCGUUCAGCCGGGGUUGUAGGGCCGGCAUAUGUGAUUCAUGAGUAGGCAGGGGAAAUGAGCUGGAAAGCUCUGCCAGAGCGGGUGACAGCCCCGUACCUGAAACCGAAAGCGACACAGCCGGUACCUGAGUACCGCGAGACACGUGGAACCUCGUGGGAAUCCGGGAGGACCAUCUUCCAAGGCUAAGUACUAACCGACGACCGAUAGUGUACCAGUACCGUGAGGGAAAGGUGAAAAGAACCUCUGUUAGAGGAGUGAAAUAGAAUCUGAAACCUGGUGCUUACAAGCUGUGAGAGCGGACUUGUUCCGUGAUCACGUGCCUUUUGCAUAAUGAGUCAGCGAGUUAAUCUGUACUGCAAGGUUAAGCGCAAGUGGAGCCGUAGGGAAACCGAGUCUGACAAGGGCGAUGAGUAGUGCGGAUUAGACCCGAAACCGGGUGAUCUAUCCAUGAGCAGGUUGAAGCAAGGGUAAAACCUUGUGGAGGACCGAACCAAUACCGGCUGAAAACGGUUUGGAUGACUUGUGGAUAGGGGUGAAAGGCCAAUCAAACCCGGUGAUAGCUGGUUCUCCCCGAAAUAUAUUGAGGUAUAGCCUCAUGGAUUGUCUACCGGAGGUAAAGCACUGACAGGGCUAGGGGUCCUACCAGAUUACCAAACCCUAUCAAACUCAGAAUGCCGGUCAGAUGUACCAUGGGAGUCAGACGGCGGGUGCUAAGGUCCGUCGUCGAGAGGGUAAGAGCCCAGAUCAACAGCUAAGGUCUCCAAAUCUAUGCUCAGUGGUUAAGGUGGUGACGUUGUAGAGACACCCAGGACGUUGGCUUAGAAGCAGCCAUCGUUUAAAGAAAGCGUAAUAGCUCACUGGUCUAAUGACGUUGCGCCGAAAAUGUAACGGGGCUAAGCAUAGUACCGAAGCUUUGAAUUCCGCGAAUGCGGUCUGGUAGGGGAGCGUUCUUCACGGGCUGAAGGUGUGUCGUAAGGCAUGCUGGACUGUGGAGAAGUGAUUAUGCUGACAUGAGUAACGAUAAAACGGGUGAAAAACCCGUUCGCCGUAAACCCAAGGUUUUCCGGGUAAAGGUAAUCUUCCCGGAGUUAGUCGGCCCCUAAGGCGAGGCUGAAAGGCGUAGCUGAUGGGAAACGUGUUAAUAUUCACGUACUUGUGUGUUCGCGCGAUGAAGGGACGCAGGAAGAUAGGCAAGCCGGGCGCUGGUUGUCCCGGUGCAAGCGUGUAGGGAUGAGAAGUUGGCAAAUCCGCUUCUCUCUAUCCUGAGACGCGAGUCCGUGACCGAAAGGUCUGAAGUUGUUGAGUCUAUGCUGCCUAGAAAAGCUUCUAAGUAUAGGACACGCAAACCGUACCGGAAACCAACUCAGGUGGGUGGGAUGAAUAAUCCAAGGCGCUCGAGAGAACUCUGGCCAAGGAACUCGGCAAAAUAACCCCGUACCUUCGGAAGAAGGGGUGCUUUUUAGGGUGAAGCGAUUCACUCUGUCGAGCCCUGAAAAGCCGCAGAGAAAUGGUGGUGGCGACUGUUUACUAAAAACAUAGGUCUGUGCCAAGUCGUAUAGACGACGUAUACGGACUGACGCCUGCCCGGUGCUGGAAGGUUAAAAGGAGGAGUCAGCGCAAGCGAAGCUCCGAAUUGAAGCCCCAGUAAACGGCGGCCGUAACUAUAACGGUCCUAAGGUAGCGAAAUUCCUUGUCGGGUAAGUUCCGACCUGCACGAAUGGCGUAACGAUCUCCACACUGUCUCGGCCAGAGACUCGGUGAAAUUGAAGUCGCGGUGAAAAUGCCGUGUACCCGCAGAAAGACGGAAAGACCCUGUGCACCUUUACUAUAGCUUGACAUUGGGAUUUGAGCCUGCAUGUGUAGCAUAGGUGGGAGGCUGUGAACUCUGUACGCCAGUAUGGAGGGAGCCAUCGUUGAAAUACCACCCUUGUUUGUUCAGGUCCCUAACUCCUCGCCGUUACCCGGUAGGAGGACAGUGUCUGGUGGGUAGUUUGACUGGGGCGGUCGCCUCCCAAAAUGUAACGGAGGCAUGCAAAGGUUCCCUCAGGCUGAUUGGAAACCAGCCGUCGAGUGCAAACGCAAAAGGGAGCUUGACUGCAAGAGAGACAUCUCGAGCAGAAACGAAAGUAGGUGUUAGUGAUCCGGUGAUCCCGAAUGGAAGGGUCAUCGCUCAUUGGAUAAAAGGUACGCCGGGGAUAACAGGCUGAUCGCAUCCAAGAGUUCACAUCGACGAUGC